Molecule: small RNA, 842 nt
Filed under: Pongo abelii (Sumatran orangutan)
Lineage: Eukaryota; Metazoa; Chordata; Mammalia; Primates; Hominidae
Description: retained intron
Source: RNAcentral
GCCUCCUUGCAGUGUUGCUGGGCCACGUCAGGAAGUGCUGGAGGACAUGGCAUUGCACCAACACCAGGCAGCCGGCCGUGUGGCUCAUCCCGCAGAUCAGGCUCUUCCUGUGCAUGGAGAUGGAGACCCCCGGAGGCAGCCCGUGGCCCAGUUCUCGGGCAGGUGGAGCAUGGAGACGACUGGGAACUUCACUAGACACACAUCCAACCAGUCCAAGGGCUUGUCGCACCGUGUACCAGCUUGCAGAAGAGAGCCCAACACCUCGCCAAGCACGAAGGCCUCCCUUCCCGACUUGAUGAAGGCAGAGUAGCGAUUGAGGUUGCGGCUCACAGUGAGCGAGCUCCUGCCCACGUGGGGACCCAGGGAGCCGUCGAGCUCCAGGUAUGCACCUCUGCCCAGUGCACCUGGCUCGGUCACCAUCAUGGAGCUGCCAUCCCACUUGUCGUCCCAGUCAUCAUCACUGCCCUAGCUGGCCUAGUUGCCACCAAGGAGCUGCUGAGGCCACGGCUUCAGGGCAUCCCUACCGCCUGGAAAUCCUGUGCCGGCUGCUGGAAGGCACUCUGUGGUGGCACCAGCUGCGGCUGCAGUAGCAGCUGGAAAGCACUGAGAGACGGCUUCAAGGAGGCGGGCAGUGCACCAGGCAGGGCCUUGAAGCCUCUGGGUGGUACAAUGGCCAUGGCACAGUGGGUCAAGGCACAGGGGCAGCCAUGGCACACUGGGCCAGUCCACGGUUGCAGACCACUUGCACUGCACAUAUAAGGCCAGGGUUGCUGAGGCCAUGAGCCCUUGCGAGUCAGCCCUUGAUGUCCUGCUCACUACACAGGCUCAGCACUUCAUGUUCU